AUGAUCAGCCCACUUCUGUGUUCCCUGCAUUGAUGGUCUGACCCAUUAGGCUCACCCACUGCCCUUGGCCCUCCCCUCUUGUUCUAGCUUCUCUGGAUGGGUUCUACAACGGCCGUAGCCUGGAUGGUGAGUCCCCAUGCUUGAGAGCCGGAUAUAUGGUUCCCUGGUUCUUACGGCCCCCAGGCCAUGGGUUGCCAUAAACGAAAGGCAGAGAAAGAGCAGUUGGACCUAUCGGGGCAUUGAGUUUCUUAUCUACCAUAGCCAGCUAAUGGGAGCUGGUCUCUGAAUGUCUUUAAGAAGGGAGGGGACAUAGGCUCCAAGGAAUGGGGACAACAACUCUAAGCCAGUCCACCCUUUGCUUUCAGUUGCCAAGGCACCUGCCACCUCCAGUGCCCUGGAUGCUGCCCACAUGGCAGCUGCCAUCUUUCUACCAUUGGUGGCCAUGGUGUUGCUGGUGGGAGGAGUGUACCUCUAUUUCUCCAGACUCCAGGGAAAAAGUCCUCUGCAGCUUCCCGGAACUCAUCCUCGCCCCUAUAACCGUAUCACGGUAGAGUCAGCAUUUGACAAUCCAACUUAUGAGACCGGAGUGAGUAUCCAUGUUGGCCUAGAUACCUCUUCAGGACUCGUUCUUUGACCCCUUGGGUGGGUAUACCUCCCCAAGGUCUGCCAAACCUUUCCCCUUUGCCUUGGGAAGGUG
Molecule: long non-coding RNA, 697 nt
Filed under: Rattus norvegicus (Norway rat)
Lineage: Eukaryota; Metazoa; Chordata; Mammalia; Rodentia; Muridae
Description: long non-coding RNA NONRATT004632
Source: RNAcentral